CUAGCAUAUCAAUAAGCGGAGAAAAGAAACCAACAGGGAUUGCCUCAGUAACGGCGAGUGAAGCGGCAACAGCUCAAAUUUGAAAGCUGGCCCCCCCGGGGGUCCGCGUUGUAAUUUGUAGAGGAUGAUUCGGCGAGGGCUCCCGCCUAAGUCCCCUGGAACGGGGCGUCAUAGAGGGUGAGAAUCCCGUAUGCGGUGGGCUGCCUUAGCCACGUGAAUCUCCUUCGACGAGUCGAGUUGUUUGGGAAUGCAGCUCUAAAUGGGAGGUAAAUUUCUUCUAAAGCUAAAUACCGGCCAGAGACCGAUAGCGCACAAGUAGAGUGAUCGAAAGAUGAAAAGCACUUUGGAAAGAGAGUUAAAAAAGUACGUGAAAUUGUUGAAAGGGAAGCGCUUGCAGCCAGACUUGUCCGCAGUUGCUCAGCCGGUCUCCUGACCGGCGCACUCUUCUGCGGCCAGGCCAGCAUCAGUUCGGGCGGUCGGAUAAAGGCCCCGGGAACGUAGCUCCUCUCGGGGAGUGUUAUAGCCCGGGGUGGAAUGCGGCCAGCCCGGACUGAGGAUCUCGCUUCGGCUAGGAUGCUGGCGUAAUGGCUGUAAGCGGCCCGUCUUGAAACACGGACCAAGGAGUCUAACAUCUAUGCGAGUGUUUGGGUGUCAAACCCAUGCGCGUAAUGAAAGUGAACGGAGGUGGGAACCCUCGCGGGUGCACCAUCGACCGAUCCUGAUGUCUUCGGAUGGAUUUGAGUAAGAGCAUAGCUGUUGGGACCCGAAAGAUGGUGAACUAUGCCUGAAUAGGGUGAAGCCAGAGGAAACUCUGGUGGAGGCUCGCAGCGGUUCUGACGUGCAAAUCGAUCGUCAAAUUUGGGUAUAGGGGCGAAAGACUAAUCGAACCAUCUAGUAGCUGGUUCCUGCCAAU
Molecule: ribosomal RNA, 913 nt
Filed under: Neoscytalidium hyalinum
Lineage: Eukaryota; Fungi; Ascomycota; Dothideomycetes; Botryosphaeriales; Botryosphaeriaceae
Description: LSU rRNA
Rfam family: Eukaryotic large subunit ribosomal RNA
Source: RNAcentral